RNAcentral lists this ribosomal RNA (1242 nucleotides) under metagenome. Its description in RNAcentral is "bacterial LSU rRNA". It matches the Rfam family "Bacterial large subunit ribosomal RNA", at positions 1564 to 2815 of the family's 2925-position model. The record is from RNAcentral.
UGAUGACGAGACGCUAAGGCGUUGAAGCAGUGUAUGUCAGACUUCCAAGAAAAGCUCGCAAUGUCACAAAUAAAGAAUGCCUGUACCAUAACCGACACAGGUGGGUAGGUAGAGUAUACUAAGGGGCGCGAGAUAACUCUCUCUAAGGAACUCGGCAAAAUGACUCCGUAACUUCGGGAGAAGGAGUGCCUUAUUUAUAAGGUUGCAAUAACAAGAUCCAAGCAACUGUUUAUCAAAAACACAGGUCUCCGCUAAGUCGUAAGACGAUGUAUGGGGGCUGACGCCUGCCCAGUGCCAGAAGGUUAAAGAAGUUGGUUAGUGUAUGCGAAGCUGAUGACUGAAGCCCUGGUGAACGGCGGCCGUAACUAUAACGGUCCUAAGGUAGCGAAAUUCCUUGUCGGGUAAGUUCCGACCCGCACGAAAGGCGUAAUGAUUUGGAUACUGUCUCGGAGAGAGGCUCGGUGAAAUAGACUUGUCUGUGAAGAUGCGGACUACCUGCACCAGGACAGAAAGACCCUAUGAAGCUUUACUGUAACUUGAAAUUGGAAUUGGACUUUGCUUGCGCAGUAUAGGUGGGAAGCGUUGAAAAUAUUCUUGCGGGAGUAUUGGAGCUAUCAGUGAGAUACCACUCUUGUAAUGUUAGAUUUCUAACUUUGAACCAUAAUCUGGUCAAAGAACAGUUUCAGGUGGGCAGUUUGACUGGGGCGGUCGCCUCCCAAAUGGUAACGGAGGCGUACAAAGGUUUCCUCUGAACGGAUAGAAAUCGUAUCUAGAGUGUAAAGGCAUAAGGAAGCUUGACUGUGAGACCUACAAGUCGAGCAGGGACGAAAGUCGGUCUUAGUGAUCUGACGGUACUGAGUGGAAAGGCCGUCACUCAACGGAUAAAAGUUACUCUAAGGAUAACAGGCUGAUCUCCCCCAAGAGUUCACAUCGACGGGGAGGUUUGGCACCUCGAUGUCGGCUCAUCGCAUCCUGGGGCGGUAGUACGUCCCAAGGGUUGGGCUGUUCGCCCAUGAAAGCGGUACGCGAGCUGGGUUCAGAACGUCGUGAGACAGUUCGGUCCAUAUCCGGUGUAGGCGCUAGAAUAUUGAGAGGAGCCUUCUUUAGUACGAGAGGACCGAGAAGGACACACCGCUGGUGUACCAGUUAUCGUGCCAACGGUAAACGCUGGGUAGCUAUGUGUGGAGUGGAUAACCGCUGAAAGCAUCUAAGUGGGAAGCCCACCUCGAGAUGAGUAUUCUC